UAGGGAAUCUUCGGCAAUGGACGAAAGUCUGACCGAGCAACGCCGCGUGAGUGAAGAAGGUUUUCGGAUCGUAAAACUCUGUUGUUAGAGAAGAACAAGGACGUUAGUAACUGAACGUCCCCUGACGGUAUCUAACCAGAAAGCCACGGCUAACUACGUGCCAGCAGCCGCGGUAAUACGUAGGUGGCAAGCGUUGUCCGGAUUUAUUGGGCGUAAAGCGAGCGCAGGCGGUUUCUUAAGUCUGAUGUGAAAGCCCCCGGCUCAACCGGGGAGGGUCAUUGGAAACUGGGAGACUUGAGUGCAGAAGAGGAGAGUGGAAUUCCAUGUGUAGCGGUGAAAUGCGUAGAUAUAUGGAGGAACACCAGUGGCGAAGGGGGCUCUCUGGUCUGUAACUGACGCUGAGGCUCGAAAGCGUGGGGAGCAAACAGG
RNAcentral lists this ribosomal RNA (429 nucleotides) under Chloroflexota bacterium. RNAcentral describes it as "Chloroflexi bacterium partial 16S ribosomal RNA". It matches the Rfam family "Bacterial small subunit ribosomal RNA", at positions 355 to 776 of the family's 1533-position model. Lineage: Bacteria; Bacillati; Chloroflexota. RNAcentral also lists the same sequence under 1 other name. The record is from RNAcentral.